UUCUGUAUCUGGGUGAGAUCCUAGGGAAGAUACUUUCUGGUUAUGAACAGGUAAGGAAUACUGAAAAGUUGUUUGGACUUGAAGAAGUUCAUAUUUGUUUGAAUGGUCCCUAGAUGUGGGGGAUGGACUAUUCAUGGCAAGGUGUGUAGCUUUGGUGUUGAGCUGCUGUAUGGUUUGAUUUAUUUUCAAACCUAUUUUAACCUGUUGCACCUGAAGUGUGGAGUUUGUGCAAAGGUCAUUAUGGUGUGCCUGAAGUUUGUUGAGGAGUUUUCUGGUUUGAAUUCCGCUGCAUACAUAAAUGAUGGGAAAACUCCUGGUGGUUUUGAGUGUGCUACACUCUGUUCUCCUCUGGUGAGGUUCAACUAACUUGUUGGAGAUGCCAACGAUACUUGAGGGUGAUCUCAAGUCCACUCAUAAAGGCGCUCAUACAUGAGUUUGUUGAAGAGAGAUCUGAAGGUAGUUAUGAGCAAUUUAUUUUUGCUUCCAAUCCUA
RNAcentral lists this long non-coding RNA (492 nucleotides) under Trifolium pratense (red clover). RNAcentral's name for it is "long non-coding RNA (TPRA_LNC012529)". The record is from RNAcentral. Lineage: Eukaryota; Viridiplantae; Streptophyta; Magnoliopsida; Fabales; Fabaceae.